AUUGAUUGGCGGUCACGUCGAGCUUCCAUAGCGUAGUAGUAAAACCCUCGUUACUGGUAAUCGUCGCGGCCACGCCGUUAAACCCCAACUUCUGAAUGUUGACCUCGGAUCAGGUAGGAAUACCCGCUGAACUUAA
This 136-nucleotide ribosomal RNA is filed under the name Fusarium verticillioides. Its description in RNAcentral is "partial 28S ribosomal RNA". The record is from RNAcentral. Lineage: Eukaryota; Fungi; Ascomycota; Sordariomycetes; Hypocreales; Nectriaceae.